This 253-nucleotide ribosomal RNA is filed under the name uncultured bacterium. RNAcentral describes it as "partial 16S ribosomal RNA". It matches the Rfam family "Bacterial small subunit ribosomal RNA", at positions 524 to 776 of the family's 1533-position model. The record is from RNAcentral.
UACGGAGGGUGCAAACGUUGUCCGGAAUCACUGGGCGUAAAGCGCAUGUAGGUGGUUAUAUAAGUGAGCGAUUAAAGACCGACGCCUAACGUCGGAUCGGUUGCUCAUACUGUAUGACUAGAGAAUGGCAGGGGUAAGCGGAACUUUCGGUGUAGGAGUGAAAUCCGUAGAUAUCGAAAGGAACACCAAUGGCGAAGGCAGCUUACUGGGCCAUUUCUGACACUCAGAUGCGAAAGUGUGGGGAGCGAACGGG